GACGAACGCUGGCGGCGUGCUUAACACAUGCAAGUCGAACGGAAAGGCCCUGCUUUUGUGGGGUGCUCGAGUGGCGAACGGGUGAGUAACACGUGAGUAACCUGCCCUUGACUUUGGGAUAACUUCAGGAAACUGGGGCUAAUACCGGAUAUGAGCUCCUGCUGCAUGGUGGGGGUUGGAAAGUUUCGGCGUUUGGGGAUGGACUCGCGGCUUAUCAGCUUGUUGGUGGGGUAGUGGCUUACCAAGGCUUUGACGGGUAGCCGGCCUGAGAGGGUGACCGGCCACAUUGGGAAUGAGAUACGGCACAGACUCAUACGGGAGGCAGCAGGGGGGAAUAUUGCACAAUGGGCGGAAGCCUGAUGAAGCAACGCCGCGUGUGGGAUGACGGCCUUCGGGUUGUAAACCGCUUUCGCCUGUGACGAAGCGUGAGUGACGGUAAUGGGUAAAGAAGCACCGGAUAACUACG
Molecule: ribosomal RNA, 466 nt
Filed under: uncultured bacterium
Lineage: Bacteria
Description: partial 16S ribosomal RNA
Rfam family: Bacterial small subunit ribosomal RNA
Source: RNAcentral